UUGAUUAGUGUACAGACACCACUAAAAUUGGAACGAUACAGAGAAGAUUAGCAUGGCCCUUGCGCAAGGAUGACACCCUUUACACAUCAACAUUUCCUAAUUUUU
Carcharodon carcharias (great white shark) is the source of this 105-nucleotide small nuclear RNA. The record is from RefSeq and is a predicted model, not a curated record. NCBI's taxonomy places the organism in Eukaryota, Metazoa, Chordata, Chondrichthyes, Lamniformes, Lamnidae.